CCCUUAGAUGUCCUGGGCUGCACGCGCGCUACACUGAUGUGUCCAGUAAGCACCUAACCUCUUCCGAAAGGAACGGGUAACCUUUGCAAAGCACAUCGUGAUGGGGAUAGAUUAUUGCAAUUAUUAGUCUUGAACGAGGAAUUCCUAGUAAGUACAGGUCAUCAACUUGUGUUGAUUACGUCCCUGCCCUUUGUACACACCGCCCGUCGCUCCUACUGAUUGAGUGUCUCGGUGAAUUCUUUGAUCUUCUGUCGAUUCAGUUCACUGAUCCGACGGUGGAAAGUUGAAUGAACUUCGUCACUUAGAGGAGGGAGAAGUCGUAACA
Molecule: ribosomal RNA, 325 nt
Filed under: uncultured eukaryote
Lineage: Eukaryota
Description: partial 18S ribosomal RNA
Rfam family: Eukaryotic small subunit ribosomal RNA
Source: RNAcentral